CCCGCGAGUCUCCUGUCCGCGACCGUAAGAGCAGACGGUAAUUAGGACAGGAUCUUCAUAAACGUGGAGCCAGCCGACUGAAUCGUUAACAAAUACCACCACUGAGAAAACGCAGGCCAAGAGUAACACUGCAGAGACAGUUAAGAAGCACAAAGUAUAUUUUUAAGGAAGGGGUACAGUCCUUGAAGUCGGGAAGUAAUAAU
Molecule: unclassified non-coding RNA, 203 nt
Organism: Fukomys damarensis (Damara mole-rat)
Lineage: Eukaryota; Metazoa; Chordata; Mammalia; Rodentia; Bathyergidae
Source: Ensembl